This 460-nucleotide ribosomal RNA is filed under the name uncultured bacterium. RNAcentral describes it as "partial 16S ribosomal RNA". It matches the Rfam family "Bacterial small subunit ribosomal RNA", at positions 338 to 795 of the family's 1533-position model. The record is from RNAcentral.
CCUACGGGGGGCAGCAGUGAGGAAUAUUGGUCAAUGGACGAGAGUCUGAACCAGCCAAGUAGCGUGAAGGAUGACUGCCCUAUGGGUUGUAAACUUCUUUUAUAUGGGAAUAAAACGUUCCACGUGUGGGAUUUUGUAUGUACCAUAUGAAUAAGUAUCGGCUAACUCCGUGCCAGCAGCCGCGGUAAUACGGAGGAUCCGAGCGUUAUCCGGAUUUAUUGGGUUUAAAGGGAGCGUAGGUGGAUUGUUAAGUCAGUUGUGAAAGUUUGCGGCUCAACCGUAAAAUUGCAGUUGAAACUGGCAGUCUUGAGUACAGUAGAGGUGGGCGGAAUUCGUGGUGUAGCGGUGAAAUGCUUAGAUAUCACGAAGAACUCCGAUUGCGAAGGCAGUUCACUGGACUGCAACUGACACUGAGGCUCGAAAGUGUGGGUAUCAAACAGGAUUAGAUACCCUUGUAGUC